AAACCUAAACCUAGAGAGAGAAAGCUCUCGGCCAAGCUUGGCUGAUUUUGAGCUCUUUGAGUCUUGAUCCAAAAAUUAUUUUCCAAGGUGUUUCAACCCUUUAGAAGGUCCCUAGAAACGUGAAUAUAGUCAUUGGAGCAACAAGAACCAUUUUCAUUUCAAUUCACAAACUCUAGCCAAGUUGAGAAGUCAAGUUGUCAAGGUUGAAGUAUUAUUGGGCAGCGUAUACAUAUUGUGUGACGAAUAAGCGCUAAAGGUAGAGACAGUUGGUUUGGUGACCCUUCAGCAUAGGACUCCUACUCAGCUAUCUUGGGAACUUCGUUGUUCCGGAGUUUAGACCUCUAAUACAGAUC
Long non-coding RNA from Lycium barbarum (goji berry), 353 nucleotides. RefSeq lists it as uncharacterized. NCBI's taxonomy places the organism in Eukaryota, Viridiplantae, Streptophyta, Magnoliopsida, Solanales, Solanaceae. The transcript has 3 exons. The record is from RefSeq and is a predicted model, not a curated record.